GAUGGACGCUGGCGGCGUGCCUAAUACAUGCAAGUCGAGCGAACAGACGAGGAGCUUGCUCCUCUGACGUUAGCGGCGGACGGGUGAGUAACACGUGGAUAACCUACCUAUAAGACUGGGAUAACUUCGGGAAACCGGAGCUAAUACCGGAUAAUAUAUUGAACCGCAUGGUUCAAUAGUGAAAGACGGUUUUGCUGUCACUUAUAGUUGGAUCCGCGCCGCAUUAGCUAGUUGGUAAGGUAACGGCUUACCAAGGCAACGAUGCGUAGCCGACCUGAGAGGGUGAUCGGCCACACUGGAACUGAGACACGGUCCAGACUCCUACGGGAGGCAGCAGUAGGGAAUCUUCCGCAAUGGGCGAAAGCCUGACGGAGCAACGCCGCGUGAGUGAUGAAGGUCUUCGGAUCGUAAAACUCUGUUAUUAGGGAAGAACAAAUGUGUAAGUAACUAUGCACGUCUUGACGGUACCUAAUCAGAAAGCCACGGCUAACUACGUG
RNAcentral lists this ribosomal RNA (497 nucleotides) under uncultured bacterium. Its description in RNAcentral is "partial 16S ribosomal RNA". It matches the Rfam family "Bacterial small subunit ribosomal RNA", at positions 28 to 507 of the family's 1533-position model. The record is from RNAcentral.